This is a long non-coding RNA of Cavia porcellus (domestic guinea pig), 291 nucleotides long. RefSeq lists it as uncharacterized. NCBI's taxonomy places the organism in Eukaryota, Metazoa, Chordata, Mammalia, Rodentia, Caviidae. The transcript has 3 exons. The record is from RefSeq and is a predicted model, not a curated record.
CACCAUUCUGGUCUCCUCGACAACCCCUUCAGUUCAGGCAGCUUCUCUCUGUCCUAGCUCAGAGGCCAGGGAAAGGGCGAGAGGUCCCCAGAGAGGGGCACUGAGGACCUAUGGCUAUGAACUUUCAGGAAAAUGUGACUCUGGCCAUUGCUGUCUUCACCAUCCUCGCCUCCAUCUACUUCUUCAACAAGGCUCAGCAGUGACAGACGUCAGCUGACCUGUGCAGGGCCGGCCACCGCCCACCAGCACCAUGACAGCAGCCCCUGAGACCAAAUAAACGGAGCAGCAGCA